CCUACGGGGGGCAGCAGUGGGGAAUAUUGGGCAAUGGGCGCAAGCCUGACCCAGCAACGCCGCGUGAAGGAAGAAGGCUUUCGGGUUGUAAACUUCUUUUCUCAGGGACGAAGAAAGUGACGGUACCUGAUGAAUAAGCCACGGCUAACUACGUGCCAGCAGCCGCGGUAAUACGUAGGUGGCAAGCGUUAUCCGGAUUUACUGGGUGUAAAGGGCGUGUAGGCGGGACAGCAAGUCAGAUGUGAAAACCAUGGGCUCAACCUGUGGCCUGCAUUUGAAACUGUUUUUCUUGAGUACUGGAGAGGCAGAUGGAAUUCCUCGUGUAGCGGUGAAAUGCGUAGAUAUGAGGAGGAACACCAGUGGCGAAGGCGGUCUGCUGGACAGCAACUGACGCUGAGGCGCGAAAGCGUGGGGAGCAAACAGGAUUAGAUACCCGGGUAGUC
RNAcentral lists this ribosomal RNA (443 nucleotides) under uncultured bacterium. Its description in RNAcentral is "partial 16S ribosomal RNA". It matches the Rfam family "Bacterial small subunit ribosomal RNA", at positions 338 to 795 of the family's 1533-position model. The record is from RNAcentral.